AUGUCUCAAGGACCGAGUGAGUUGUUAUGGAUGAGGAACCUAUUAGAAGGGCUUAAGAUAUUGAAGACCAGUUGCAUGAAUGAACCUAUUAGAAGGUGUGACAAGAAGUCCGCAAUCAAUGCAGCAAACCCCCCAGUUCAACAUGAUAGAACCAAACAUUUGGAGCUAGACAAAUUAUUUAUCAAAGAAAAGCUAGAUGCUGGGAUUAUCAAGAUAGAGCAUAUGAGUUCAUGGCAACAAAUUACAGAUUGCUUGCAAGGACUGGGAACCAGAGAAUGCAACCUACCGUGUGACAAGAUGGGAAUGAUAGAUAUCUAUCACCCCUCUUGA
RNAcentral lists this ribosomal RNA (330 nucleotides) under Triticum aestivum (bread wheat). RNAcentral's name for it is "partial small subunit ribosomal RNA". The record is from RNAcentral. Lineage: Eukaryota; Viridiplantae; Streptophyta; Magnoliopsida; Poales; Poaceae.